RNAcentral lists this ribosomal RNA (450 nucleotides) under uncultured bacterium. RNAcentral's name for it is "partial 16S ribosomal RNA". It matches the Rfam family "Bacterial small subunit ribosomal RNA", at positions 354 to 796 of the family's 1533-position model. The record is from RNAcentral.
GUGGGGAAUAUUGGACAAUGGGCGAAAGCCUGAUCCAGCCAUGCCGCGUGUGUGAAGAAGGUCUUCGGAUUGUAAAGCACUUUAAGUUGGGAGGAAGGGCAGUAAGUUAAUACCUUGCUGUUUUGACGUUACCGACAGAAUAAGCACCGGCUAACUUCGUGCCAGCAGCCGCGGUAAUACGAAGGGUGCAAGCGUUAAUCGGAAUUACUGGGCGUAAAGCGCGCGUAGGUGGUUUUGUAAGUUGGAGGUGAAAUCCCCGGGCUCAACCUGGGAACUGACUCCAAAACUGUAUGACUAGAGUACGGUAGAGGGUAGUGGAAUUUCCUGUGUAGCGGUGAAAUGCGUAGAUAUAGGAAGGAACACCAGUGGCGAAGGCGACUACCUGGACUGAUACUGACACUGAGGUGCGAAAGCGUGGGGAGCAAACAGGAUUAGAUACCCCAGUAGUCC